UCCAAAGAGAGGACCCAAGUCAAACAUUCCACGAACUUUGAAGAACGACGUCCACGUCCGUUUUGGUGACUAAUAAUCAUCAUAUUUGUGCAAGGCUUGGCGCAGCACAGCGGCAGAAUCAUCUAUUUCACCAUCAUGGAAUCUCUGACCUGAGAGAGGCUGCCUCCUAGUGCCAACUUCCCACACACCCUUACCUAUCAAUCAUCACCCACCUCCAAAAAAAGGUGGCCACAUGGCUGGUGGUUGGAUAUUUCUCCUGACUUCCUAUAGUCAGGGACAGGUGAUCAUCCCCAAAUACAAGUAUCUCUUUGCCCUUUUGUUAGAGGUUCACCGUCUAACCCAAUUCAAUCUUUAUUUCCUGAAUUGUUUCCAUUUUUAAAGGAGAUAUUAAGGAAUUUUUCUACGAUUCCAAUGAAAUUCUCCUAUAAGCCUAAAA
This is a long non-coding RNA of Gracilinanus agilis (Agile Gracile Mouse Opossum), 436 nucleotides long. RefSeq lists it as uncharacterized. Lineage: Eukaryota; Metazoa; Chordata; Mammalia; Didelphimorphia; Didelphidae. The record is from RefSeq and is a predicted model, not a curated record. The transcript has 2 exons.